Molecule: ribosomal RNA, 520 nt
Filed under: uncultured Scutellospora
Lineage: Eukaryota; Fungi; Glomeromycota; Glomeromycetes; Diversisporales; Gigasporaceae
Description: SSU rRNA
Rfam family: Eukaryotic small subunit ribosomal RNA
Source: RNAcentral
AGCAGCCGCGGUAAUUCCAGCUCCAAUAGCGUAUAUUAAAGUUGUUGCAGUUAAAAAGCUCGUAGUUGAAUUUCGGGGUUCUACCGUUGGUCGGGCUUUGUCUGUACUGAUGUGUAGAAUUUCUACCUUCUGGGGAACCAUCAUGUUAUUAAUUUAGCGUGGUGGGAAACCAGGACCUUUACCUUGAAAAAAUUAGAGUGUUCAAAGCAGGCUUAUGUCUGAAUACAUUAGCAUGGAAUAAUAGAAUAGGACGGUGGUCCUGUUUUGUUGGUUUCUGAAUCACCGUAAUGAUUAAUAGGGAUAGUUGGGGGCAUUAGUAUUCAAUUGUCAGAGGUGAAAUUCUUGGAUUUAUUGAAGACUAACUUCUGCGAAAGCAUUUGCCAAGGAUGUUUUCAUUAAUCUAAGAACGAAAGUUAGGGGAUCGAAGACGAUCAGAUACCGUCGUAGUCUUAACCAUAAACUAUGCCGACUAGGGAUCGGAUGAUGUAAUUUUUUAAUGACUCAUUCGGCGCCUUACGGG